UGGGGAAUAUUGGACAAUGGGGGGAACCCUGAUCCAGCGACGCCGCGUGAGUGAAGAAGUAUUUCGGUAUGUAAAGCUCUAUCAGCAGGGAAGAAAGAAAUGACGGUACCUGACUAAGAAGCCCCGGCUAACUACGUGCCAGCAGCCGCGGUAAUACGUAGGGGGCAAGCGUUAUCCGGAUUUACUGGGUGUAAAGGGAGCGUAGACGGCGAUGCAAGUCUGAAGUGAAAGGCGGGGGCCCAACCCCCGGACUGCUUUGGAAACUGUAUAGCUGGAGUGCAGGAGAGGUAAGUGGAAUUCCUA
This 303-nucleotide ribosomal RNA is filed under the name uncultured bacterium. RNAcentral's name for it is "bacterial SSU rRNA". It matches the Rfam family "Bacterial small subunit ribosomal RNA", at positions 355 to 672 of the family's 1533-position model. The record is from RNAcentral.